This 355-nucleotide long non-coding RNA is filed under the name Erythranthe guttata (spotted monkey flower). RNAcentral's name for it is "long non-coding RNA (EGUT_LNC003054)". Lineage: Eukaryota; Viridiplantae; Streptophyta; Magnoliopsida; Lamiales; Phrymaceae. The record is from RNAcentral.
CGCCUUCUUAAAAAAGUCGGACAUCAAGUUAACCAUCUGCCCAUGGUUUUAUCGUGCUUCUUUUGGCGUUUAUGCAUUUUCGUAUUUGCCUUGAUCGAGGUUUCUCCAUCGUUACGAUAGCUUGACAUGUACUCAGAUGCGUCAUCGUUGAUAGUUAUGUUAGUUGGAACAUAAUCCGCUCCGGCGGACAAGUCACUUUGACGGUUGGUCUUGAAGCACCAAGUCAUUGACUGCAUCAACAAACGAUUCGGCAUUUUCACCGGUUGCUCGAUCUUUACCAAAGAUUACAAGUCAAUCCUUGUAUAGAGGCUAUUUUUUGUAGCGCAUAGUGCAAGCAUUCGGAUCCGACUAAGGC